This 1049-nucleotide ribosomal RNA is filed under the name Facetotecta sp. RNAcentral's name for it is "partial large subunit ribosomal RNA". It matches the Rfam family "Eukaryotic large subunit ribosomal RNA", at positions 354 to 1266 of the family's 3401-position model. Lineage: Eukaryota; Metazoa; Arthropoda; Thecostraca. The record is from RNAcentral.
UGAUGGAAAGUUGAAAAGAACUUUGAAGAGAGGGUUCAAAAGUACGUGAAACCGCCCGGGCGAAAAACGGACGGGACCUCGAAGGCGACGCCCGGCGGAUUCAAUCGAACGCGACGGAGCGGCGCGGCGUGCCGAUCGCAAGGCGGCCGCAGCGUCCGAUCACCGACGCCGUUCGACGCACUUCCGUCGGGUGGCACGUCGCGACAGGCUUUCGGGCCGCCAGAGCACCGACGGGUAGUCGGUCGGACGGAUUCGUCCUUCGGCCGGCCCGUCGGCGUGUCGGCGUUCCCGAAGGCCGCGUACGAAAAGCACGACGGGGCCCGCGCCACGACGCGUCGGCGUCUCGCUCCGGCCGAGGCCCCGUGCGGCGCGACGAGUAGAUCGGCGACCCGUCCGACCCGUCUUGAAACACGGACCAAGGAGUCCAACAUGUGCGCGAGCGAUCGAGCGCCAAGAGACUCGAACGCGCAAUGAAAGCGAAGCAACGCCCGUGCGUUGUGCGGGGCGACGCCGCCACUUCGGCUGGCGGUCGCAGCCCCGGGACGCGCCGAUCGCAUCGUCGACGGCUCGUACCCGGAGCGUACACGUUGGGACCCGAAAGAUGGUGAACUAUGCCUGGCCAGGACGAAGUCGGAGGAAACUCUGAUGGAGGUCCGUAGCGAUUUUGACGUGCAAAUCAAUCGUCCGAGCUGGGUAUAGGGGCGAAAGACUAAUCGAACCAUCUAGUAGCUGGAUCCAUCCGAAGUUUCCCUCAGGAUAGCUGGCGCUCGCANGACCGAGUUUCAUCCGGUAAAGCGAAUGAUUAGAGGCCUUGGGGCCGAAACGANCUCAACCUAUUCUCAAACUUUAAAUGGGUGAGAAGUCGGGCUUGCUCGACUGAAGCACCGACCNUNGAAUCNAGAGUGCCAAGUGGGCCACUUUUGGUAAGCAGAACUGGCGCUGUGGGAUGAACCAAACGCAGAGUUAAGGUGCCCGAGAGAACGCUCAUCAGAUCCCAUGAAAGGUGUUGGUUGCUAUAGACAGCAGGACGGUGGCCAUGGAAGUCGGAA